CGGCACGGGUGAGUAAUACAUCGGAACGUGUCUUCUAGUGGGGGAUAACUGCCCGAAAGGGCAGCUAAUACCGCAUGAGACCUGAGGGUGAAAGCGGGGGAUCGUAAGACCUCGCGCUGGAAGAGCGGCCGAUGUCCGAUUAGCUAGUUGGUGAGGUAAAGGCUCACCAAGGCGACGAUCGGUAGCUGGUCUGAGAGGACGACCAGCCACACUGGGACUGAGACACGGCCCAG
This 233-nucleotide ribosomal RNA is filed under the name uncultured bacterium. RNAcentral describes it as "partial 16S ribosomal RNA". It matches the Rfam family "Bacterial small subunit ribosomal RNA", at positions 100 to 334 of the family's 1533-position model. The record is from RNAcentral.